Molecule: ribosomal RNA, 166 nt
Filed under: uncultured bacterium
Lineage: Bacteria
Description: partial 16S ribosomal RNA
Rfam family: Bacterial small subunit ribosomal RNA
Source: RNAcentral
CUAGUAAUCGUAGGUCAGCAUACUACGGUGAAUACGUUCCCGGGCCUUGUACACACCGCCCGUCACACCAUGGGAGCUGGUAACACCCGAAGUCAGUAGUCUAACCGCAAGGAGGACGCUGCCGAAGGUGGGAUUAGCGACUGGGGUGAAGUCGUAACAAGGUAGC